This 253-nucleotide ribosomal RNA is filed under the name uncultured bacterium. Its description in RNAcentral is "partial 16S ribosomal RNA". It matches the Rfam family "Bacterial small subunit ribosomal RNA", at positions 524 to 776 of the family's 1533-position model. The record is from RNAcentral.
UACGGAGGAGGCAAGCGUUAUCCGGAAUUAUUGGGCGUAAAGCGUCCGCAGGUGGCACCUCAAGUCUGCGGUCAAAGACUGGGGCUUAACCCUGGAAAGGCCGUGGAAACUGAAGAGCUAGAGUGCAGUAGGGGUAGAGGGAAUUCCCGGUGUAGCGGUGAAAUGCGUAGAGCUCGGGAAGAACAUCGGUGGCGAAAGCGCUCUGCUGGACUGCAACUGACACUCAGGGACGAAAGCUAGGGGAGCGAAUGGG